RNAcentral lists this long non-coding RNA (2019 nucleotides) under Homo sapiens (human). RNAcentral's name for it is "HSALNT0043092". The record is from RNAcentral. Lineage: Eukaryota; Metazoa; Chordata; Mammalia; Primates; Hominidae.
AGCCUGGGGAAGGCACUUUUUACAGCCGUUUGUCUGUCUACGCUGGAGCUAGGGGUUUGUUGUGGAGCUGGGGACCGGAGGAGGAUUUCUUUGAGGCAUGGGAGGGAAGGACCCUCGCCUUCUGUACUGCAUUUGAUGGAGGUUCCUAUGGCCAUGCGGGAUGAAGAGCAGAAAAGUUUGCGUUAGCCUAUAAUUUCAAGGGUGUUUAAUCCAGGCGGUGGGAUGACAAAAACCAGGUAAUUCUGAAAUCAGUUUAUAAAAGAUACAGAAAGGAAGAGAUGGAUACCAGGAUAAAGAUUUAAAGCCAGGAAGCCUGGGUUGCUUCUUUGCUCCCAAUUUUUCUUGAUCUAGUAUCUCGGGUUCCACAUCCAGCGCACAGACCUACCUUUCCUGGGGUGACAGAAAUUGACAAUUUCUUCAAGGUGAAAGAUUCAGUUAGUUUCUACAUCAGAUGACUCUCUAUGAAUAAAUUCACACUUCUGUGCAUAUAGGUGGGGGGAAUCUUAAAACUUCUUGUGGCUCUAAAAACUCGUACAGAAUCAAGAAGGCUGAAGAGCUAUUAUAUCUAACCCAGCCCAGGUGCAGAUUUCCAGAAGAAAGAAAUAAAAAUAAAACAUAAUGAUCAGAGAGGAAAAGCUGUGAACUAUAAACGUUUCCAGUUUUAUAUUUUUAAAUAGUGCCUCGAUUUAAGAUAUGAGUUCUCCCACAAUUAGAUUACCACUCACAAGGCUACCCAGCCCCUCCAGGCUCCUGAAAGCCAAGACCAGUGAGGAGGGGGCUGGGGACUGUUGCUUCUCUCCCUACCCCUACCCCUUUUUAGAGCUAGUGUGGGUGAGAGAAGAUAUUAAAGGGAUAUCUGUUGUUUGGCAAUUUUGCUAAGUCUGUCUUCAUUACUUUGCUGCUGUGCAUUUGCUAAUUUGGAGGCCUGGCCAUUGACAAGCUUGCUCCAUACACCUGCAAGCAAUUUGCCGGCUCCGGUACCAGAGAAUUGCAGAGAUGGCAGCUCGCACCUAUUUGAUUUUUUUUUUUCCUUUUCUCAAUGCACAGCAAAUUUGGCUUUCAGUGCGUUAUCUCUUUUGUUAAUGCAAAAAGAUUCCCUGGGCGAAAAAAUUGCUCAUAAUUACCAGAGAGAUGGGGAAACUGCAUUAGAAUAAAUAAACCUGAAAUUACUGUAAUUAUGUUGUGUUUGAUGGGCCCGGCUUGUAAUCAAGAAGAGAAUACAGUGAAAUGAUGCUGACCCUCUUGGGUUUGCAGCUGUACGCGCACUUUGGGGUCUUUUUUUGCAGAAAAGAGUCAUUUUGAUAAUCAUUAAGCUGUGUGUAACCUAUUUCAGAAGUGUUUUAAAAUGAGUUUCACAUUUUUUGAACAAGGGAAAAAAAUCCCAAAAUUGCAUUUUGCCAUUACAGACUCAUACAUAAGGAAAGGUUGUGUUUUCUAAGUGACAAUUGUUAAGACAUAAUAUUCGAAAUCAGUAUUUAAUCAUUAUAAUGAGGUAUUGUUUAAAUAUAACCACCUUUAGAUUAUUCAUAGUUUAAUUAAUAUACUCAUUAUGAAAAUCUUUGAAUCAGAUAUUUGAUGAACUACUUGUCAGUAACAAGGCAGCAUUAAUUAGGCCUAUAUUGAGAUUAACAUUUUUAAAAAGUACAACCGCUUAUAAUUAUAAUAAAGCCUAACUAAAGACCGUUUUCGUUGAGCUAAAACUAAUAAUUUCUCUAUUUGAACUGUUAGCAAGAGAUUAUUAAAUUAGUAUAAGCUAAUAUCUCAAAGUAUUACAAUCCGCUUGACCAAACAGAUUUUGCCUGUAGCUUGAGGCAUUGGGCCCUAGCUGCCGUCUGGGGGACCUGAGUCAGAUGCCGGACAGAAAUCUUCGCACUAGCAAAGUCACAUCUCCUAGGGGAAAUUGAACCUAGGAAGACCCCCUACCCCGCGCGGGAGCUGGGAAAUUCAUUCUUUCCUCAGCUUUGAGGCCCAUCUGACUGCCCACAUCCUGGUUUCUGAGGUCUGAUCUCUCCCAUCAGC